This 490-nucleotide ribosomal RNA is filed under the name uncultured bacterium. RNAcentral describes it as "bacterial SSU rRNA". It matches the Rfam family "Bacterial small subunit ribosomal RNA", at positions 15 to 507 of the family's 1533-position model. The record is from RNAcentral.
GAUCCUGGCUCAGAUUGAACGCUGGCGGCAUGCUUUACACAUGCAAGUCGAACGGUAACAGGUUAAGCUGACGAGUGGCGAACGGGUGAGUAAUGCAUCGGAACGUACCCGGUCGUGGGGGAUAACGCAGCGAAAGCUGCGCUAAUACCGCAUACGAUCUGAGGAUGAAAGCGGGGGACCGUAAGGCCUCGCGCGAUCGGAGCGGCCGAUGUCAGAUUAGGUAGUUGGUGGGGUAAAGGCUCACCAAGCCGACGAUCUGUAGCUGGUCUGAGAGGACGACCAGCCACACUGGGACUGAGACACGGCCCAGACUCCUACGGGAGGCAGCAGUGGGGAAUUUUGGACAAUGGGCGCAAGCCUGAUCCAGCAAUGCCGCGUGCAGGAAGAAGGCCUUCGGGUUGUAAACUGCUUUUGUACGGAGCGAAAAGGUCUUCCCUAAUACGGGAGGCUGAUGACGGUACCGUAAGAAUAAGCACCGGCUAACUACGUG